GAGUUAUCCCCGCGGUGGUGUUGGGAGGGAAUUAUCUCUUAUUCUUUUUGCUUUUUCUAUAUUCUGAAAGGGCAGCAGAUGAAAUAGUUUUUGUUUUAAGUGGAGAACCUGAACUCCACCUGCUGAAAAGCCACAGGCUGAAGGAUCUGCUGCUGACUGAACACCUGCUUGGUGGGUUCAGCCAGAGAACAAAGUGAGGAGGAGACCGUCUGUUGUGCUUCUGCUUCCUACUGAUUACAAAUGUAUGCUGAGAAAAUUGUAACAGAGGGGAAGAUGGAAGCAAGCUUGAUAAAUGAGGCCCCAGGGCAGGAGGGAUCAGGGACCUGGAUGGGGAGGCAUGAUGGCACAGCAACAAUCCCAGAAAAAUUUGCAGAGCUGAAGGAAAGAAGCAGCAAAGAGAGAAAAAAUGCAUGCAUGCAAAUUGCUUUGGGGGUGUUUUUCAUGAGGAAAUAAAACAUGGUCAAAAGCCCCAAACGUGGAUUUUGCACAAUUUAGGACUUUAAUUUUAACAAGUUGUUUAGAAAGAUUAAUCUUUUUAAAGC
RNAcentral lists this long non-coding RNA (542 nucleotides) under Nothobranchius furzeri (turquoise killifish). Its description in RNAcentral is "lncRNA (ENSNFUG00015004457.1)". Lineage: Eukaryota; Metazoa; Chordata; Actinopteri; Cyprinodontiformes; Nothobranchiidae. The record is from RNAcentral.